UGCCUAACACAUGCAGGUCGAACGGCAGCAUGGUUUGAGAAUCUUCGGAUGAUUGAACUGAUGGCGAGUGGCGAACGGGUGAGUAACGCGUAGGAAACUGCCCUAAAGUGGGGGACAACUCGGGGAAACUCGAGCCAAUACCGCAUAAGCUCUACGGAGUAAAGCUGCCUUUUAGGUGGCGCUUUAGGAGGUGCUUACGUCCGAUUAGCUAGUUGGUAGGGUAAAGGCCUACCAAGGCGACGAUCGGUAGCUGGUUUGAGAGAACGAUCAGCCACACUGGGACUGAGACACGGCCCAGACUCCUACGGGAGGCAGCAGUGGGGAAUAUUGGACAAUGGGCGCAAGCCUGAUCCAGCAAUGCCGCGUGUGUGAAGAAGGCCUGAGGGUUGUAAAGCACUUUCGUUACUGAGGAAGUGCAUUUGAUUAAGAGUUGAAUGCAUUGACGUUAGGUAAAUAAGAAGCACCGGCUAACUCCGUGCCAGCAGCCGCGGUAAUACGGAGGGUGCGAGCGUUAAUCGGAAUUACUGGGCGUAAAGCGCACGUAGGUGGUUUUUUAAGUUAACUGUGAAAGUCCCGGGCUCAACCUGGGAAUGCCAGUUAAAACUGGGGAACUUGAGUACAGUAGAGGGUAGUGG
RNAcentral lists this ribosomal RNA (635 nucleotides) under uncultured Gammaproteobacteria bacterium. RNAcentral describes it as "bacterial SSU rRNA". It matches the Rfam family "Bacterial small subunit ribosomal RNA", at positions 45 to 664 of the family's 1533-position model. Lineage: Bacteria; Pseudomonadati; Pseudomonadota; Gammaproteobacteria. The record is from RNAcentral.